RNAcentral lists this microRNA precursor (158 nucleotides) under Pelobates cultripes (western spadefoot toad). Lineage: Eukaryota; Metazoa; Chordata; Amphibia; Anura; Pelobatidae. The record is from RNAcentral.
CGCCCCCUAUACGUCAUCAUUGAGUAAACUUUGACCCGGAACCUCACAGUCAGCAGACACUUCCUGGGAGGGAGGGUCUGCUGCUGGUUGGGUGGAAUGUGUCUGCUGGCUGUGAGGUUCCGGGUCAAAGUUUACUCAAUGAUGACGUAUAGGGGGCG